RNAcentral lists this ribosomal RNA (468 nucleotides) under uncultured bacterium. RNAcentral describes it as "partial 16S ribosomal RNA". It matches the Rfam family "Bacterial small subunit ribosomal RNA", at positions 28 to 507 of the family's 1533-position model. The record is from RNAcentral.
GACGAACGCUGGCGGCGUGCUUAACACAUGCAAGUCGAACGGAAAGGCCCUGCUCUUGUGGGGUGCUCGAGUGGCGAACGGGUGAGUAACACGUGAGUAACCUGCCCUUGACUUUGGGAUAACUUCAGGAAACUGGGGCUAAUACCGGAUAGGAGCUCCUGCUGCAUGGUGGGGGUUGGAAAGUGUCGGUGGUUGGGGAUGGACUCGCGGCUUAUCAGCUUGUUGGUGGGGUAGUGGCUUACCAAGGCUUUGACGGGUAGCCGGCCUGAGAGGGUGACCGGCCACAUUGGGACUGAGAUACGGCCCAGACUCCUACGGGAGGCAGCAGUGGGGAAUAUUGCACAAUGGGCGGAAGCCUGAUGCAGCAACGCCGCGUGCGGGAUGACGGCCUUCGGGUUGUAAACCGCUUUCGCCUGUGACGAAGCGUGAGUGACGGUAAUGGGUAAAGAAGCACCGGCUAACUACGUG